UUCUUCGUUCAACAGUUUCCCGCCGAAGUUCAGUUUGGGACUAAGAGCGAGAAACCCUAACUCCUAGAGAUUCAAUGCAAUUCGAGUUCCAUAAUUUAUCUGCGAUCUUCGUUUUGGUGCAUUUUUUCUCUAUUUCUUGUCUUGCUGCGAUCUGUAUGGCACAGGAAAAUCCAACGUUGCCAUCAAUCGCGCCAAAUUUCAUACCUCGAUUAAUUUUCUUGUUCUGCCGCUUUCCGACACUGAAGCCUUAACUCCUAGAGAUUUAUCAUGCAAUCUGAGUUGUCGAUUACCUUCGAUCGUUGUUUUCGAUGCUUUUUUGUUCUCUAAUGCUUCGAUUGCUGCCAAGAGCAUAGAGUUUGUCAUUUUUCUUAUUAUGGAGAACUCUGCAGCAGAGGAUCUCGAAAGUCCUGAGUUAUGGAAGGUCGCUGACUCUCGAUCGUUCAUGACCGGUGCUGAUCACUCGAUCGUUCGAUUCCUGGCAAUGAAUUCGACGAGUCUAUUCUUCAGGUUGAUCGGUUGCUUCGUGAGGCUUUUCAGAAUCCUUGCAAACGCUUAACGAGUGCCCAUUGCCCUGAAGAUAUAAGGUCUGGCCCUCCGUAGAGUUAUUUGGCCUUUUAGUUCAAAGGUUUGAUGCACACUACACAUCCAGGCAUUUUUCUGCAUUCCUCUCGGUAUCUUUUCCAGCAGCCUGAAAUGCCUUUUAUUCCUCGUCAUGAGCAAGUUCGUCAUCCCCUUUCUCGUUGGAAGGUGCACGAUAGCGAAAAUCAAUCCAUCUCAAUCUACAAAAAAAAGAAAAGAAAAAAAAAAAAACAUUGCCUUGGACAUGCAACCCAAAAAUCUUGAAAGACAGAUUGCUUGAAGAAAACUCUUUUAGAGCCUGGUACAAGUCAAGCUCCUUCGAUUCGGCAACAAGAGUCGGUUAUAGAAUAGUUUUUUGGUCAGCUUUCCCAUUGUUUCAGAUGCAGCAAUGUCUAAUAUGAGGAUGCAGCAAUGUCUAAUAUGAGGUUCCUCUUGCCUCAUGACAGCUUCGAGGAUGAAACCACUAUACUUGCUUAUGUUCCUGGAGCGCUCUUUCUAUAAAAAAGAUUGAGUAGGAAAAACAAUUGGCUUCCAUCGAGAUCCCAAUCUUUUGGAUUAGCUUUGUCUCUAUAAGGGCAUCGGCUAAGCCUACACCGUUUCGUUUAAUGCUUAUUUUCCUCAAAUGGUGGGGCCGAGCACAGAGAACUGAGAAUGAUCGAGAAUGUCGAUGGAUUGAAAAUGUGCAGCAGGUCUUCUACGAAGGUAUUUGCUCUGAACAUAGCGGAGGGUAAAUUAAAAAAAUACCUUUCAAUUUACAUUUUUUUAAAUAUCAUUAUUUUUUUUUCAAAAUUUUCAAUAUUACAUUUACAUUUGACCAUAGGAGCAUUUCAAAAUUAUCAUAUUUAGAAUUCCGCGAUAGCGACCUAAAAUAAAAAUUUUUAAAUGAAAUUUGUUCAGGGUCUCAACUUUGAAAGGUUUAUACUCAAAUGGUAGUUUUAAAAUUUUUAUAAAAUAUUAAGAUAAUAUUGUAACUUUUGAAAUAAUAGUUUUUUACAUUAUUUUGUGAAUUACUAGGAGAGAAAAAAAAAAAGUAAUCUAUUAGAAGAAAACUUCGUUUAUUAGAUGACAAUUUUGUUAUCCUAAUUUUUGGUUGGUAAUUUUCUCGAUCAUCUAAUUUUAAUAUUCAUCAAUAAUAGUGGGGGAUGAAUUGAAAAUUAUUACAGAAUU
This is a long non-coding RNA of Cucurbita pepo subsp. pepo (vegetable marrow), 1746 nucleotides long. RefSeq lists it as uncharacterized. The record is from RefSeq and is a predicted model, not a curated record. NCBI's taxonomy places the organism in Eukaryota, Viridiplantae, Streptophyta, Magnoliopsida, Cucurbitales, Cucurbitaceae.